This 484-nucleotide ribosomal RNA is filed under the name uncultured bacterium. Its description in RNAcentral is "partial 16S ribosomal RNA". It matches the Rfam family "Bacterial small subunit ribosomal RNA", at positions 28 to 523 of the family's 1533-position model. The record is from RNAcentral.
GACGAACGCUGGCGGCGUGCUUAACACAUGCAAGUCGAACGAUGAACCCGGAGCUUGCUCCGGUGGAUUAGUGGCGAACGGGUGAGUAACACGUGAGUAACCUGCCCUUGACCCUGGGAUAACUGCGGGAAACUGUAGCUAAUACCGGAUACGACCCUCGGCGGCAUCGCCAGGGGGUGGAAAGAAUUUCGGUCAAGGAUGGACUCGCGGCCUAGCAGCUAGUUGGUGAGGUAACGGCGCACCAAGGCGACGACGGGGAGCCGGCCUGGGAGGGGGACCGGCCACACUGGGACUGGGACACGGCCCAGCCGCCUACGGGAGGCAGCAGUGGGGAAUAUUGCACAAUGGGCGCAAGCCUGAUGCAGCAACGCCGCGUGAGGGAUGACGGCCUUCGGGUUGUAAACCUCUUUUAGUAGGGAAGAAGCGAAAGUGACGGUACCUGCAGAAAAAGCACCGGCUAACUACGUGCCAGCCGCCGCAGUAA